UUUACUUGUUAACCUACUACCACCUGUGACUCUUGUAAAAUUUAAUUGGAUGGGUCCAUUUUCAUACAUUAUUCAAACAUAUACAUCCACAGAUGAAUGGAAGUGAGAGAAAAAAGAGAAUGGCAAUGAUAGAAUUUGCAUGUCCAUGUAUUCUUUUUGCUCUGAGACUCCUGGGGCCUCCAUUAUUGUCCAUGGUCACCAUCCUUAUCCGUACAUGUUUCUCUUCUCUGGGAUCAACCAUUGCUACUUCCUCUCCUAAGCUCUAGACU
RNAcentral lists this long non-coding RNA (269 nucleotides) under Vigna radiata. RNAcentral describes it as "long non-coding RNA (VRAD_LNC014579)". Lineage: Eukaryota; Viridiplantae; Streptophyta; Magnoliopsida; Fabales; Fabaceae. The record is from RNAcentral.